RNAcentral lists this long non-coding RNA (292 nucleotides) under Zostera marina. RNAcentral describes it as "long non-coding RNA (ZMAR_LNC002640)". The record is from RNAcentral. Lineage: Eukaryota; Viridiplantae; Streptophyta; Magnoliopsida; Alismatales; Zosteraceae.
UCGUGGUAUCAACGGAAAAUAUCUCAAAUAUUUGGCGGGAAUCCGUUUACUUUUUUCAUCAUCAUCAGCUUCGUUCAACCACCUUGAAACUCCACAUGUAGGACAACUUUUGCAAUCUUUAUAUUUUUUACGAUAAAUGAUACAAUCGUUCCGACAUGCAUCGAUCUUCUCAUACCGUAACCCCAAAUCACGAACAACUGACUUAGCUUGAUACAUAUUCUUCGGGAUCGUUUCUGUUCCAUUGGGAUGAGAUCGACGUAAAAUGGAUAACAACGUCUCAAAUGAUUUAUCG